This 445-nucleotide ribosomal RNA is filed under the name uncultured bacterium. RNAcentral's name for it is "partial 16S ribosomal RNA". It matches the Rfam family "Bacterial small subunit ribosomal RNA", at positions 354 to 796 of the family's 1533-position model. The record is from RNAcentral.
GUAGGGAAUAUUGGGCAAUGGAUGCAAGUCUGACCCAGCCAUCCCGCGUGCCGGAAGAAGGCCCUCAGGGUUGUAAACGGCUUUUGACGGUGAAGAAUCGACAGGAUGCGUCCUGUUUUGACGGUAGCCGUUGAAUAAGCACCGGCUAACUCCGUGCCAGCAGCCGCGGUAAUACGGAGGGUGCGAGCGUUGUCCGGAUUUAUUGGGUUUAAAGGGUGCGUAGGCUGGAAGGUCAGUCAGCGGUGAAAAGCUAUCGCUUAACGAUAGUCUUGCCGCAGAUACUUCCUUUCUUGGAUGAGGAGGAGGCCACUGGAACGGAUGGUGUAGCGGUGAAAUGCAUAGAUAUCAUCCAGAACACCGAUUGCGAAGGCAGGUGGCUGUACCUUAAUCGACGCUGAUGCACGAAAGCAUGGGGAGCAAACAGGAUUAGAUACCCUUGUAGUCC